This 229-nucleotide long non-coding RNA is filed under the name Gossypium barbadense (sea-island cotton). RNAcentral's name for it is "long non-coding RNA (GBAR_LNC015064)". Lineage: Eukaryota; Viridiplantae; Streptophyta; Magnoliopsida; Malvales; Malvaceae. The record is from RNAcentral.
UGAGUUAACUGCCAGAUAAUAUGUUGCAAAAAUAGAAAACAUAUGUGCAUUACUUGUAGCUUCUAGAUCGGCAGUGUCAGAAGCUGAAAAGGUAGAGGUUUUUUGGCCGGUCUUUCGUCGGACUUUAAUGCUGUGUUGUCCUUAGCCUCAUUCUUGACGGAGGUUCUUUCUUUCCAGCGUUUGGUCGAUGUUCUCCUAGAGAUUGAGAGUCGCCAGACGCGGGUGGCGC